Molecule: ribosomal RNA, 253 nt
Filed under: uncultured bacterium
Lineage: Bacteria
Description: partial 16S ribosomal RNA
Rfam family: Bacterial small subunit ribosomal RNA
Source: RNAcentral
UACGUAGGGUGCAAGCGUUGUCCGGAAUUAUUGGGCGUAAAGAGCUUGUAGGCGGUUUGUCGCGUCUGCUGUGAAAUUUCGGGGCUCAACCCCGAACUUGCAGUGGGUACGGGCAGGCUAGAGUGUGGUAGGGGAGACUGGAAUUCCUGGUGUAGCGGUGAAAUGCGCAGAUAUCAGGAGGAACACCGAUGGCGAAGGCAGGUCUCUGGGCCACUACUGACACUGAGAAGCGAAAGCAUGGGGAGCGAACAGG